RNAcentral lists this ribosomal RNA (372 nucleotides) under Burkholderia sp. SB11. Its description in RNAcentral is "bacterial SSU rRNA". It matches the Rfam family "Bacterial small subunit ribosomal RNA", at positions 1000 to 1376 of the family's 1533-position model. The record is from RNAcentral. Lineage: Bacteria; Pseudomonadati; Pseudomonadota; Betaproteobacteria; Burkholderiales; Burkholderiaceae.
GCUGAGAGGUGGGAGUGCUCGAAAGAGAACCGGCGCACAGGUGCUGCAUGGCUGUCGUCAGCUCGUGUCGUGAGAUGUUGGGUUAAGUCCCGCAACGAGCGCAACCCUUGUCCUUAGUUGCUACGCAAGAGCACUCUAAGGAGACUGCCGGUGACAAACCGGAGGAAGGUGGGGAUGACGUCAAGUCCUCAUGGCCCUUAUGGGUAGGGCUUCACACGUCAUACAAUGGUCGGAACAGAGGGUUGCCAACCCGCGAGGGGGAGCUAAUCCCAGAAAACCGAUCGUAGUCCGGAUUGCACUCUGCAACUCGAGUGCAUGAAGCUGGAAUCGCUAGUAAUCGCGGAUCAGCAUGCCGCGGUGAAUACGUUCCCG